UCAACUUAUCAGUUCGUUCCUCA
RNAcentral lists this non-coding RNA (23 nucleotides) under Arabidopsis thaliana (thale cress). The record is from RNAcentral. Lineage: Eukaryota; Viridiplantae; Streptophyta; Magnoliopsida; Brassicales; Brassicaceae.